GAUGAACGCUGGCGGCGUGCCUAAUACAUGCCAGUCGAGCGAACAGACGAGGAGCUUGCUCCUCUGACGUUAGCGGCGGACGGGUGAGUAACACGUGGAUAACCUACCUAUAAGACUGGGAUAACUUCGGGAAACCGGAGCUAAUACCGGAUAAUAUAUUGAACCGCAUGGUUCAAUAGUGAAAGACGGUUUUGCUGUCACUUAUAGAUGGAUCCGCGCCGCAUUAGCUAGUUUGUAAGGUAACGGCUUACCAAGGCGACGAUGCGUAGCCGACCUGAGAGGGUGAUCGGCCACACUGGAACUGAGACACGGUCCAGACUCCUACGGGAGGCAGCAGUAGGGAAUCUUCCGCAAUGGGCGAAAGCCUGACGGAGCAACGCCGCGUGAGUGAUGAAGGUCUUCGGAUCGUAAAACUCUGUUAUUAGGGAAGAACAAAUGUGUAAGUAACUAUGCACGUCUUGACGGUACCUAAUCAGAAAGCCACGGCUAACUACGUG
Molecule: ribosomal RNA, 497 nt
Filed under: uncultured bacterium
Lineage: Bacteria
Description: partial 16S ribosomal RNA
Rfam family: Bacterial small subunit ribosomal RNA
Source: RNAcentral